UACCGCUGCUGUUAACCUGACCAUUAUGACAGCCCGGAGCCUCUCGGGAACAGGGAGUAACCGGACCACCGUCCAGGGGCUCUCUGAAUCUGCAGACCCUGGUGAAACAGCGGACCUAUUUCACUAACUCCUGCUUACCAUCAGGAUCUUCAGCUGAAAUUGCUGGAAUGGUCUUGGCUUUCUAGGAACUGAGGCUGGGAGGUUGGAACAAAUUGAGGAAUAAUCAGCUCUGUUGGCGGGAAUUGUCCAAGAGCCGGCGGGAAGGAAUGGGGACGACUUGGGGGAGCCGGCAGCCCUAGGGAACUUGCCUCUCUCCCUGGGCUUCAUCCUGGGGCUGGUUCAGAUUAGCAAUAAAGAAUAACUAAGAGCAGGAAUCAACAACUCCUUCCGGCUCAUCAAACACCCCCCCCCCAAGAGGUCUAGAGGGGCAUCCCAGGAGCACCCCACUGCCCUCUCCCAGCAUGGUGCUCAGCUGACCCCAAUGAUCCGCCCUCGGGGAUCCUUGCUGACUGUUCCAGCCCCAACCCCACCAGCUUGAGAGCAGGGUCCAAGGGGCUUAGGAAGCUGCCCCCAUGGAACAGAGGGAUGCUUGGCUCUGGGACGGAAUCCUGGUGUAUUCCUUCCCCUCUCUGCCCGUCAGAGUCUCUUGUAAAAUAAAUCCACAGAACUAAAAUGACGUUUAAGGGCUCUCUCCACUUUCCUGCCACAUGCAGGU
Non-coding RNA from Ictidomys tridecemlineatus (thirteen-lined ground squirrel), 715 nucleotides. Lineage: Eukaryota; Metazoa; Chordata; Mammalia; Rodentia; Sciuridae. The record is from RefSeq and is a predicted model, not a curated record.